This is a long non-coding RNA of Galleria mellonella (greater wax moth), 734 nucleotides long. RefSeq lists it as uncharacterized. Lineage: Eukaryota; Metazoa; Arthropoda; Insecta; Lepidoptera; Pyralidae. The record is from RefSeq and is a predicted model, not a curated record. The transcript is spliced from 3 exons.
UAUCAUUAACGCAUCGCAUUAGACGGUCGUGGGUUCGAAGCGGCCGGAAGUAGAUUGUUACAUGUACAUUUGGAUGGUUUCUGAACUCUUCAAACAGUUCGUGUUUUUUUGUUUUAUAAGUAUUGAAGUAAUUUGGUGUUUUAUUGUUAUGUUGUUGCGGCCGUGAAAUUGUUCAUUUUUUCGACCGACUUCGAAAAAGAAGGGAUCUGAAUCACCGUAUACUAUCUAAAGGAAGGAAUCAAAAGUUUGUCGUACAUGCAUACGUUAUGGAGGCGAAUAAAUCAAGAGAUAUAUGUUAGAAUUUUUGCUACUAUAAUUUCUUCUACCCUUCAAGGAGCUUGGGGCGGCUCAUAUUGAUAGUAAUAAAUGAAAAAACGAAACUUGAAAAAGAAUAAUGAUAAGGAAAGAAGAAAAUAUGCCAUCAUAUACAAAGACGACUUAAUGCUACGUCAUUGCGGAUAGAAAAAAAUCAGCCAAUCUUGGCAUAGCACCUGGCAAGCUAGCCGUAAUGUGGACGCCUCUUGGCAGCUUUGCUUCGCGUAGCGUGGAAGCCGUUGCCAAUUGCGACCAGUUUGUCGACCCGCCCGGAGAUUUGGCACCCGAACGAGUUUCCACACCUUGUAUGUGGAUCUAUCUACGUAUAUGUAUGUUAAAUACAACACGCCAUGUUUUGGCAUUAUUUAAAGGCGAGAAACAGAAUUUGGUGAAGUAUUUAUAUUGCAAUAAGUUCAUUG